RNAcentral lists this ribosomal RNA (491 nucleotides) under uncultured bacterium. RNAcentral describes it as "partial 16S ribosomal RNA". It matches the Rfam family "Bacterial small subunit ribosomal RNA", at positions 29 to 507 of the family's 1533-position model. The record is from RNAcentral.
AGUGAACGCUGGCGGUAGGCCUAACACAUGCAAGUCGAACGGCAGCACAGUAAGAGCUUGCUCUUACGGGUGGCGAGUGGCGGACGGGUGAGGAAUACAUCGGAAUCUACUUUUUCGUGGGGGAUAACGUAGGGAAACUUACGCAAUACCGCAUACGACCUACGGGUGAAAGUAGGGGAUCUUCGGACCUUGCGCGAUUGAAUGAGCCGAUGUCGGAUUAGCUAGUUGGCGGGGUAAAGGCCCACCAAGGCGACGAUCCGUAGCUGGUCUGAGAGGAUGAUCAGCCACACUGGAACUGAGACACGGUCCAGACUCCUACGGGAGGCAGCAGUGGGGAAUAUUGGACAAUGGGCGCAAGCCUGAUCCAGCCAUACCGCGUGGGUGAAGAAGGCCUUCGGGUUGUAAAGCCCUUUUGUUGGGAAAGAAAAGCAGCAGGUUAAUACCCCGCUGUUCUGACGGUACCCAAAGAAUAAGCACCGGCUAACUUCGUG